Molecule: long non-coding RNA, 520 nt
Organism: Bactrocera dorsalis (oriental fruit fly)
Lineage: Eukaryota; Metazoa; Arthropoda; Insecta; Diptera; Tephritidae
Exons: 2
Source: RefSeq, a predicted model, not a curated record
UUUUAUACUCUCGCAACAAAGUUGCUAAGGAGAGUAUUAUAGUUUUGUUCAUAUAACGGUUGUUUGUAAGUCCUAAAACUAAAAGAGUCAGAUAUAGGGUUAUAUAUACCAAAGUGAUCAGGGUGACGAGUAGAGUUGAAAUCCGGAUGUCUGUCUGUCCGUCCGUCCGUCUGUGCAAGCUGUAACUUGAGUAAAAAUUGAGAUAUCAUGAUGAAACUUGGUACACGUAUUUCUUGGCUCCAUAAGAAGGUUAAGUUCGAAGAUGGGCAAAAUCGGCCCACUGCCACGCCCACAAAAUGGCGGAAACCGAAAACCUAUAAAGUGUCAUAACUAAGCCAUAAAUAAAGAUAUUAAAGUGAAAUUUGGCACAAAGGAUCGCAUUAGGGAGGGGCAUAUUUGGACGUAAUUUUUUUGGAAAAGUGGGCGUGGCCCCGCCCCCUACUAAGUUUUUUGUACAUAUCUCGGAAACUACUAUAGCUAUGUCAACCAAACUCUAUAGAGUCGUUUCUUUCAGGCAUUU